AUUGAACGCUGGCGGAAUGCUUUACACAUGCAAGUCGAACGGCAGCACGGACUUCGGUCUGGUGGCGAGUGGCGAACGGGCGAGUAAUGUAUCGGAACGUGCCCAGUCGUGGGGGAUAACGUAGUGAAAAUUACGCUAACACCGCAUACGAUCUAUGGAUGAAAGCGGGGGAUCGCAAGACCUCGCGCGAUUGGAGCGGCCGAUAUCAGAUUAGGUAGUUGGUGGGGUAAAGGCCCACCAAGCCAACGAUCUGUAGCUGGUCUGAGAGGACGAGCAGCCACACUGGAACGGAGACACGGUCCAGCCUCCUACGGGAGGCAGCAGUGGGGAAUUUUGGACAAUGGGCGAAAGCCUGAUCCAGCCAUUCCGCGUGCAGGAUGAAGGCCCUCGGGUUGUAAACUGCUUUUGUACAGAACGAAAAGGUUUCUACUAAUACUAGGAGCUCAUGACGGUACUGUAAGAAUAAGCACCGGCUAACUACGUGCCAGCCGCCGCAGUAA
RNAcentral lists this ribosomal RNA (500 nucleotides) under uncultured bacterium. Its description in RNAcentral is "partial 16S ribosomal RNA". It matches the Rfam family "Bacterial small subunit ribosomal RNA", at positions 30 to 523 of the family's 1533-position model. The record is from RNAcentral.